Molecule: transfer RNA, 63 nt
Filed under: Staphylinidae sp. BMNH 1274219
Lineage: Eukaryota; Metazoa; Arthropoda; Insecta; Coleoptera; Staphylinidae
Description: tRNA-Tyr
Source: RNAcentral
GAUAAGAUGGCUGAAAAUAGGCAAUAAAUUGUAAAUUUAUUAAUGAAUUAAAUUCUCUUAUCA